Hordeum vulgare subsp. vulgare (domesticated barley) is the source of this 822-nucleotide long non-coding RNA. RefSeq lists it as uncharacterized. The transcript has 3 exons. The record is from RefSeq and is a predicted model, not a curated record. NCBI's taxonomy places the organism in Eukaryota, Viridiplantae, Streptophyta, Magnoliopsida, Poales, Poaceae.
CAAACACCCACCUCCCUACGCAGCGCCGCCUCCCUCUUUCUCCCUCUACCAGAUCCAGGUCGAGGCCACCGCCACCUCUGGUGCCACACCCCUCGCGCCUCUCCUCUUCCUCCACCUCUGUUGCUGCCGGCUCCUACCCAGUCCUCGCCCUCCGGUGCCUCCCCAUCCUUCGCGGCCGUACGCACCAAGGCUGAGGCGGUGACGGGCUCAUAGGCCAACGACGCGUCGGGCCGACGCACAUCCAGGGUCGCGCAGGCGCAGCACGAGCCACUUCUUCUUGCCCUCGUCCCGUGGCGUGGGAGAGGAUGAGGAGGAGCCCUCGUCGCGUGGGGAUCUGUGGCACGCGUGCGCGGGGCCGGGCAUGGCGCUGACCAGGCAUGGGAGCGUAGUCGUCUCGCUCCCGCAGGCGCACCCGUGGCCGACGGCGGGGAUGCGUGAGUGUGUAGGACGCGGCGGGUGGCGACAAUCACCCAUCGCCUCCUCCCUCCUACACCCCGCCAGAUCUCACGGUCCAAGCUAACAAGAGCGACUACAACAACGUGAUGGGUGCUCUUCUCUACCUCAAAGUAAACAAGAAAGCAGGCUGAGAUCUACCAGGUCUCAUGUACGCAUGGCUCGCGCUGGUUGCGGAGGCCGAGGUGAGGGCCGCUGCCUGAAUCUCUGACUGUCAGUCGCUCGCCGUUACAUUGCACGCAUUGUGGGCAGUGGGCUGCUCCGAAUUCGAUUUGGGGAUCUGCGCAGGCUUGUGGUGAAGAACUGCAAGGCCGAGUAGUACCCCAACAAGCCCAAGCGCACCUCAAGCACCUCAAGCUAUGUUGCAGG